GAUGAAGAACGUAGCGAAAUGCGAUAAGUAGUGUGAAUUGCAGAAUUCAGUGAAUCAUCGAAUCUUUGAACGCACAUUGCGCCCUUUGGUAUUCCGUAGGGCAUGCCUGUUCGAGCGUCAUUUAAACCUUCAAGCUAAGCUUGGUGUUGGGUGACUGUCCGCUUCACGGCGGACUCGCCUCAAAAUUAUUGGCGGCCGGUACAUUGGCUUCGAGCGCAGCAGAAACGCGAACUCGGGCCCGUCGUAUUGGCUCCCAGAAGCUAUCUUCACAAUUUUGACCUCGGAUCAGGUAGGGAUACCCGCUGAACUUAAGCAUAUCAAUAAGCGGAGGA
This 332-nucleotide unclassified non-coding RNA is filed under the name soil metagenome. Its description in RNAcentral is "partial contains 5.8S ribosomal RNA, internal transcribed spacer 2, and large subunit ribosomal RNA". The stretch from base 1 to 120 matches the Rfam family "5.8S ribosomal RNA", at positions 35 to 154 of the family's 154-position model. The record is from RNAcentral.